UAGGGAAUCUUCCGCAAUGGGCGAAAGCCUGACGGAGCAACGCCGCGUGAGUGAUGAAGGUCUUCGGAUCGUAAAACUCUGUUCUUAGGGAAGAACAAAUGUGUAAGUAACUAUGCACGUCUUGACGGUACCUAAUCAGAAAGCCACGGCUAACUACGUGCCAGCAGCCGCGGUAAUACGUAGGUGGCAAGCGUUAUCCGGAAUUAUUUGGCGUAAAGCGCGCGUAGGCGGUUUUUUAAGUCUGAUGUGAAAGCCCACGGCUCAACCGUGGAGGGUCAUUGGAAACUGGAAAACUUGAGUGCAGAAGAGGAAAGUGGAAUUCCAUGUGUAGCGGUGAAAUGCGCAGAGAUAUGGAGGAACACCAGGGGCGAAGGCGACUUUCUGGUCUGUAACUGACGCUGAUGUGCGAAAGCGUGGGGAUCAAACAGG
Molecule: ribosomal RNA, 429 nt
Filed under: Actinomycetes bacterium
Lineage: Bacteria; Bacillati; Actinomycetota; Actinomycetes
Description: Actinobacteria bacterium partial 16S ribosomal RNA
Rfam family: Bacterial small subunit ribosomal RNA
Source: RNAcentral